UACAGGGGGUGCAAACGUUGCUCGGAAUCAUUGGGCGUAAAGCGCACGUAGGCGGUCUGUUAUGUCGGAUGUGAAAGCCCUUGGCUCAACUGAGGAAGUGCACCUGAAACUGGCAGGCUUGAGUACGAAAGAGGGUCGCGGAAUUCCCGGUGUAGAGGUGAAAUUCGUAGAUAUCGGGAGGAACACCGGUGGCGAAGGCGGCGACCUGGUUCGACCCUGACGCUGAGGCGCGAAGGCGUGGGGAGCGAACGGG
Molecule: ribosomal RNA, 253 nt
Filed under: uncultured bacterium
Lineage: Bacteria
Description: partial 16S ribosomal RNA
Rfam family: Bacterial small subunit ribosomal RNA
Source: RNAcentral